UACGUAGGGUGCAAGCGUUGUCCGGAAUUAUUGGGCGUAAAGAGCUCGUAGGCGGUCUGUUGCGUCGGCUGUGAAAACCCGGGGCUCAACCCCGGGCCUGCAGCCGAUACGAGCAAACUAGAGUGUUGCAGGGGAGACUGGAAUUCCUGGUGUAGCGGUGAAAUGCGCAGAUAUCAGGAGGAACACCGGUGGCGAAGGCGGGUCUCUGGGCAACAACUGACGCUGAGGAGCGAAAGCGUGGGGAGCGAACAGG
This 253-nucleotide ribosomal RNA is filed under the name uncultured bacterium. RNAcentral describes it as "partial 16S ribosomal RNA". It matches the Rfam family "Bacterial small subunit ribosomal RNA", at positions 524 to 776 of the family's 1533-position model. The record is from RNAcentral.